Long non-coding RNA from Mauremys mutica (yellowpond turtle), 376 nucleotides. RefSeq lists it as uncharacterized. The record is from RefSeq and is a predicted model, not a curated record. Lineage: Eukaryota; Metazoa; Chordata; Testudines; Geoemydidae. The transcript has 3 exons.
UCACAACUAUGCUACCCAUCCAUGGACUCUUAGGCUAAUUAUGAGACAUCUUUAACGGGAGGAGAAAGGCUUAUUUCAAGUACAAAAUUAGAAGGAGACAAUGAGAGGAUGUGGAGUUAAAAGUUAAUCACAACAGCUCCUGAAUCCCCAGCGUGAGUUCUACACCAGCUGAGGACACACACUCCUCCAAACAGACAGCGGGGUUGCACUGCAACACAGCAUCCAAGAAAGAAUCACUGUCUUCUGGGAAGAAGGAAUCACUGUCUUCUUGGAACACAUGCCAGAGCAGUUGUUUUCUUUCCCUUGAAAUGGGAAUAGUCUGUGAACGAGCAAAAGACUGGGGAGGCUCCUGAUGCCCUGUCUCCUUCUCCCCCUU